RNAcentral lists this ribosomal RNA (404 nucleotides) under Actinomycetes bacterium. RNAcentral describes it as "Actinobacteria bacterium partial 16S ribosomal RNA". It matches the Rfam family "Bacterial small subunit ribosomal RNA", at positions 355 to 776 of the family's 1533-position model. The record is from RNAcentral. Lineage: Bacteria; Bacillati; Actinomycetota; Actinomycetes.
UGGGGAAUAUUGGACAAUGGGCGCAAGCCUGAUCCAGCCAUGCCGCGUGAGUGAUGAAGGCCCUAGGGCUGUAAAGCUCUUUCACCGGUGAAGAUAAUGACGGUAACCGGAGAAGAAGCCCCGGCUAACUUCGUGCCAGCAGCCGCGGUAAUACGAAGGGGGCUAGCGUUGUUCGGAUUUACUGGGCGUAAAGCGCACGUAGGCGGACUUUAAAGUCAGGGGUGAAAUCCCGGGGCUCAACCCCGGAACUGCCUUUGAUACUGGAAGUCUUGAGUAUGGUAGAGGUGGGUGGAAUUCCGAGUGUAGAGGUGAAAUUCGUAGAUAUUCGGAGGAACACCAGUGGCGAGGGCGGCUCACUGGACCAUUACUGACGCUGAGGUGCGAAAGCGUGGGGAGCAAACAGG